Long non-coding RNA from Lytechinus variegatus (green sea urchin), 1025 nucleotides. RefSeq lists it as uncharacterized. NCBI's taxonomy places the organism in Eukaryota, Metazoa, Echinodermata, Echinoidea, Temnopleuroida, Toxopneustidae. The record is from RefSeq and is a predicted model, not a curated record. The transcript has 3 exons.
UUCAGAAUUAAGCAACCGGUAGAUGAAGUGAAUAUACCUGGCGCUAUGGAGAACCAAGGAUAUGAUACUGAUCUUAACAUCACGGCUUUUGCAAUGCAUGAUAUUGAUACCAAUAUGUUUGGAGCAAGUGGAACAUACAACUCAACUACAUCUGGAAAAGAAGGCUUCUCAAAUCCUACUUAUUCAAACCCAUCAACGGAUUAUCCAAUCAAUAACGAUACAACAGCGUAACCUUUCAAAAACCGGCACAUGUCUUUUCUUAUGCAUCUUAUGCAUCAAUUAAAUUACUUAUUAAUAAGUUGCCUACUGAAUUGUCCAAUUUUCAAAGCUUUUGUACAGAGGCAAUCUAGUUUUAGUACGCGAAGGGUUAAAAAUACAAUUUUUAAUGACACAAAAGUGUAACCCUUCAUUUACUAUUAUCCUAUUGACUAUGGAAUUCUCUGACAAUCUUGUGAUUGUAGGCAAAGGGGUAAAAAUUCCUUUACAUUUUUGUUAUAUUUCAAGAUGUGCUUCAGCCAUCAAAAGCUUUUCUACCUUUUACAUUGUCAUUUUUUUAUAGUACCCAUGUACGUUUAGUAUAAUAAUAUGAUAGAGAUUUCUUUCACGAAUCGAAUCCUGGACAAAUUUUUGAUAAUGAUAUUGCAUGUAUUUGUACAAGGGAAACUUGUUAUACUCUGAUGAAUAACAUGUCAAAGUUUAUGUGUCUAUAUCAGUAAGUAGCCCUUAAAACAAUGUAAACAACUCUGAUUUUUUUUCAUUUUAUAUGUAUUUAAUUAAUAAUUCCAGUUUGAAUGUGAUUGUUUCAUGAAAUUGCAAUACGUUAUGUCAAUAAUGAUUCAUAAUAAUUAUCAAAAUUGAAAUUAUGACAUGUAUGUACAUUAUAUUUUGUAUAUAAUAAAGCUAUCAUUAUCAUGCACAAGGCUGUAUAUUUUGAUGUAGGUUGUAUGUACUAAAAGAGAAAAGAAUAUGUGUGCUUUAUAUAUUUUCAUUUUCAUUAGAAAUUGGGCAUUGCACGUAUAAAAAUA